This 228-nucleotide microRNA precursor is filed under the name Pinus densata. RNAcentral describes it as "miR159 stem-loop (pde-MIR159)". Its record names the gene pde-MIR159. It matches the Rfam family "MIR159 microRNA precursor family", at positions 13 to 186 of the family's 196-position model. Lineage: Eukaryota; Viridiplantae; Streptophyta; Pinopsida; Pinales; Pinaceae. The record is from miRBase by way of RNAcentral.
UAAGCGGUAGAGCUCCUUUUGUACCAAUCAAGGACUGUGCAAAAAUGAUCCGACUGCCGAUUUAUGCAUCCUUCUGCCCUGCGAGUGUUCGUUGUUUCAAGUCCGAAUAGAUUGCAGGUUAGUGGUUUGCAGAAGACCGAUUUCAUUGCAGGUUAGUGGUGUGCAUAAGGCGGGAGUUGUAUUGAUUUUGUGUUGUCCUCGUUUGGUUUGAAGGGAGCUCUACUGGGC